UACGAGGGGGGCAAAUGUUGUUCGGAAUCACUGGGCGUAAAGGGCGCGUAGGCGGGUUCUUAAGUAAGGUGUUUAAUCCCGGGGCCCAACCCCGGACCGGCACUUUAAACUGGGAAUCUUGAAUAGUGGAGAGGUCAGUGGAAUUGGGGGUGUAGCGGUGGAAUGCGUAGAGAUCCCCAAGAACACCAGUUGCGAAGGCGGCUGACUGGACACAUAUUGACGCUGAGGCUCGAAAGCAUGGGGAGCAAACGGG
RNAcentral lists this ribosomal RNA (253 nucleotides) under uncultured bacterium. RNAcentral's name for it is "partial 16S ribosomal RNA". It matches the Rfam family "Bacterial small subunit ribosomal RNA", at positions 524 to 776 of the family's 1533-position model. The record is from RNAcentral.